Long non-coding RNA from Leopardus geoffroyi (Geoffroy's cat), 878 nucleotides. RefSeq lists it as uncharacterized. The record is from RefSeq and is a predicted model, not a curated record. NCBI's taxonomy places the organism in Eukaryota, Metazoa, Chordata, Mammalia, Carnivora, Felidae. The transcript has 3 exons.
UGGGCUGGGGGACCCAGUGACCCUUCUGGCUGCUAGAGUCUGCUGACCAUGAUUCACGAGCCAGCGUGGGAGGCAGCAGAGGAGUCAGCUGAUGGUGACACUUCAGGAUCUGGCCUUUUACUGAUCAUUAGCAACUAUGUUGGGAAUAAGACAGGGCCCCGUUUAGCUAAUCAGAACUUCCAGGGCUAGAUAUGGAGAGAAGCUAGAAAGGAGAUGGGAAGGUACCAGCCUGUGCUAGGUGAUUUACACAAAUUAUUUUGCUUCCCACUGUGACAUUAUGGGUUUGAACUACUAAUUGUAGUGAUCAUAAUAACAGCUAGCAUUAAUUGAGGAUUUACUUUGUGCCAGUCCCUUCCUUAAAGGACUUUGUAUUCAUUAUCUCAAGCUAACUUAUAUAACAAUUAUAUGGCAUAGAUACCAUCGUUAUCCUUAUUUUUCUGGUUAAAAAAUUGGGUCAGGUUUUGGGUCAGGGCACAGAGAGGGCACUUGCCCAUCUCACAGCUUUUAAGUGGCAGAGUUGGGACUUGAACCUACUUCAUCUGAUGCCAGAGCCUGAAGAACGCAGAUGCCUUGAUGUCCUAUCCUUCAGCACAUACAAAACAGAACAAGCAAACACAUUAGAAUGAACGUGGAAUAAAUACGAAAGACCCUAUCUACCCUGAGAGUCAACUUUGAGUGCAACUUUGAGUCAAAGACCACGGAGGGGAUGCAUGGAGUAUUAGGACAAUUCUGAGGCAUGUUCUUCAUGAUAUCUCAGAGGUCUCCAAUGGGACCGAUCCUCGGUUUCCUGAAGAAGUAACCAACUCAGUAACACACCCUGCCAACAUUCCCAUCUCUGUCGUGACUCCCUCACUUAAGAUCACCUUGCAAAUAAGUCA